UUAACAUUGGAGAUUUCGAUGGUAAAUCAUAUUAUAAGGUUUAUAACGCUACAUACGAUCCUUAUUCAUUCAACAUCACUACAUCAGAUGGCCAUCGAGGUCAAUUCUGGAUGCCUUAUCUCGAUAAAAAAACAAGUAAUACAGCCGUCUUAGCAAGUUGUGUUAAAAUUGAUGCUUCAACUGUUGAUGUCAAAGUUUGGUUCGUCGCAAAGAAUGGAGCAACGACAGUUACCCAAGAAAUUAAGGACAUUGUUAAAUCAUUGACUGGACAAGAAUUAAAAUCUGUCUGUCAAGGAAGCUUCUGUUGAUCGAUUUAACUGUUGUACUGGAAAACAAUUCUGUCCAAUUUCAUUAUAUCUA
Molecule: non-coding RNA, 360 nt
Organism: Tetranychus urticae (two-spotted spider mite)
Lineage: Eukaryota; Metazoa; Arthropoda; Arachnida; Trombidiformes; Tetranychidae
Source: RefSeq, a predicted model, not a curated record